GACGAACGCUGGCGGCGUGCUUAACACAUGCAAGUCGAACGGUGAUCUUGAGAGCUUGCUCUUGGGUGAUCAGUGGCGAACGGGUGAGUAACACGUGAGUAACCUGCCCCUGACUCUGGAAUAACUUCGGGAAACCGAAGCUAAUACCGGAUAUGACACAGAGCCGCAUGGUUUCUGUGUGGAAAGUUUUUCGGUUGGGGAUGGACUCGCGGCCUAUCAGCUUGUUGGUGAGGUAAUGGCUCACCAAGGCGACGACGGGUAGCCGGCCUGAGAGGGCGACCGGCCACACUGGGACUGAGACACGGCCCAGACUCCUACGGGAGGCAGCAGUGGGGAAUAUUGCACAAUGGGCGAAAGCCUGAUGCAGCGACGCCGCGUGAGGGAUGAAGGCCUUCGGCUUGUAAACCUCUUUCAGUAGGGAAGAAGCGCAAGUGACGGUACCUACAGAGAAGCACCGGCUAACUACGUGCCAGCAGCCGCGGUAA
Molecule: ribosomal RNA, 485 nt
Filed under: uncultured bacterium
Lineage: Bacteria
Description: bacterial SSU rRNA
Rfam family: Bacterial small subunit ribosomal RNA
Source: RNAcentral